This 253-nucleotide ribosomal RNA is filed under the name uncultured bacterium. RNAcentral describes it as "partial 16S ribosomal RNA". It matches the Rfam family "Bacterial small subunit ribosomal RNA", at positions 524 to 776 of the family's 1533-position model. The record is from RNAcentral.
UACGAAGGGGGCUAGCGUUGCUCGGAAUUACUGGGCGUAAAGGGAGCGUAGGCGGAUCGUUAAGUUAGAGGUGAAAGCCCAGGGCUCAACCCUGGAAUUGCCUUUAAAACUGGCGGUCUUGAGUAUGGCAGAGGUGUGUGGAACUCCGAGUGUAGAGGUGAAAUUCGUAGAUAUUCGGAAGAACACCAGUGGCGAAGGCGGUGCUCUGGGCCGGUACUGACGCUGAGGAGCGAAAGCGUAGGUAGCAAACAGG